This 322-nucleotide ribosomal RNA is filed under the name uncultured eukaryote. RNAcentral's name for it is "partial 18S ribosomal RNA". It matches the Rfam family "Eukaryotic small subunit ribosomal RNA", at positions 1470 to 1796 of the family's 1831-position model. The record is from RNAcentral.
CCCUUAGAUGUUCUGGGUCGCACGCGUGCUACACUGAGUGGAUCAGCGGGUCAGGUUGCGCGAAAGUGUUUCCUAAUCUUUAAAUCCGCUCGUGAUGGGGAUUGACGGUUGCAAUUUUCCGUCAUGAACGAGGAAUACCUUGUAAGCGCGGGUCAUCAUCCCGCGCUGAAUACGUCCCUGCCCUUUGUACACACCGUCCGUCGCUCCUACCGAUUGAGUGGUCCGGUGAGGCUUUGGGAUCUGAGCGGAAAGAGCGUUUCGCUGUUUCUGCCCGGAAAACUCAGUCGAACCUUAUCAUUUAGAGGAAGGAGAAGUCGUAACA